GCGGUCGUGAAUUUUUCGAAGUCAUUUUUGGUGCCACAUCAUUUCAGGUGGUUGAAGUGGUCCUAUAGCAGUCAUGAAGCGGGCAAAAAAUUAGAUACAAACAAUACAUAGCUAGAAUCAACCGGAACGUUAUAAAUUUUUGUUGGGGUCUAGGGGUCAGUUUUAAAAUCAGCACACAAGGUGGCCCCACGCACAUCACCAGUCCCUAAUUCAGACUACCUCCGACCAAUCACCACUCAAAACGUAAAACCAACAAGGUCAGCUGCAACUUAACUUUGAUUCAUAACUCAACGAAUUCUCCAAAUCCUGAACUCAGUGAGUCUUUCACGUAUUUGACACUUCAUUUGCCUUUUCUUUUCCCCUCCAGCACAAUUUCACACCCCUAAAUAGCCCAAUUCUCUCUACAAUAUAACUAAAGCCAGUUCAAA
Long non-coding RNA from Rhododendron vialii, 428 nucleotides. RefSeq lists it as uncharacterized. Lineage: Eukaryota; Viridiplantae; Streptophyta; Magnoliopsida; Ericales; Ericaceae. The record is from RefSeq and is a predicted model, not a curated record. The transcript is spliced from 2 exons.